Molecule: ribosomal RNA, 497 nt
Filed under: uncultured bacterium
Lineage: Bacteria
Description: partial 16S ribosomal RNA
Rfam family: Bacterial small subunit ribosomal RNA
Source: RNAcentral
GAUGAACGCUGGCGGCGUGCCUAAUACAUGCAAGUCGAGCGAACAGACGAGGAGCUUGCUCCUCUGACGUUAGCGGCGGACGGGUGAGUAACACGUGGAUAACCUACCUAUAAGACUGGGAUAACUUCGGGACACCGGAGCUAAUACCGGAUAAUAUAUUGAACCGCAUGGUGCAAUAGUGAAAGACGGUUUUGCUGUCACUUAUAGAUGGAUCCGCGCCGCAUUAGCUAGUUGGUAAGGUAACGGCUUACCAAGGCAACGAUGCGUAGCCGACCUGAGAGGGUGAUCGGCCACACUGGAACUGAGACACGGUCCAGACUCCUACGGGAGGCAGCAGUAGGGAAUCUUCCGCAAUGGGCGAAAGCCUGACGGAGCAACGCCGCGUGAGUGAUGAAGGUCUUCGGAUCGUAAAACUCUGUUAUUAGGGAAGAACAAAUGUGUAAGUAACUAUGCACGUCUUGACGGUACCUAAUCAGAAAGCCACGGCUAACUACGUG